AUUGAACGCUGGCGGCAUGCCUUACACAUGCAAGUCGAACGGUAACAGGUCUUCGGAUGCUGACGAGUGGCGAACGGGUGAGUAAUACAUCGGAACGUGCCCGAUCGUGGGGGAUAACGCAGCGAAAGCUGUGCUAAUACCGCAUACGAUCUACGGAUGAAAGCGGGGGAUCGCAAGACCUCGCGCGGACGGAGCGGCCGAUGGCAGAUUAGGUAGUUGGUGGGAUAAAAGCUUACCAAGCCGACGAUCUGUAGCUGGUCUGAGAGGACGACCAGCCACACUGGGACUGAGACACGGCCCAGACUCCUACGGGAGGCAGCAGUGGGGAAUUUUGGACAAUGGGCGCAAGCCUGAUCCAGCCAUGCCGCGUGCAGGAAGAAGGCCUUCGGGUUGUAAACUGCUUUAGUCUAGGAAAAGGGUAGCGAGGUUAAGUACCCUCCGUGCUUUGACGGUACUGGAGAAUAAGCACCGGCUAACUACGUGCCAGCAGCCGG
Molecule: ribosomal RNA, 494 nt
Filed under: uncultured bacterium
Lineage: Bacteria
Description: bacterial SSU rRNA
Rfam family: Bacterial small subunit ribosomal RNA
Source: RNAcentral